UGUGUUACCUAGCAAUAUCCCCUCGCAAUAUAUUCAAAAGAACUGUUUCAGCAAUAUCAUCUGCAUUAUGUCCAGUAGCAACCUUGUCUACUUUCAACAAUGCAGCACCUCGAUCAAGGGCCUUCCAAAACAGGUAAGACAACAAAUUUCAAAUUUCAUUGUUGUUACGUGCUUGUUCUUUUCUUUUUUGGUUUUGGGGGGAAGGGGGUUACCUGACGACGAAAAACACCACAAAAUGUGCAAUUAUUCUUUAAACCAAUCAUCUUCACAAUCUCAUCCAUUGUCCAUCCGUACAAAUCCUUGUAGGAAACAAUCUUCAAGGGCAACCCAUACUGGAAAACAUAUAGAAACAGAAAGUCAUUGAAACAAAAUAACAACAAAUCAUUUAUGUUUCUUCAAAAUUUUCAAAGAAUUUCUGGGUAUCAAUGAAUUAGUGAAAAGUCUAAAGCUUACCUGAAUUUCAUUUCUUUUGACAGUUUCAAGCGAGUCAUCCCUGUAACCAGUUAUGCCUUCGUCAACAGACAAUAAGAAGAGGUCGAGGCCAUAAUUAUGCCGGUGAUUUAAUUCAGAUAACACAUAAGCAAGGACUGUAGAAUCUGCAAAGAUACAGAAUAAUUGGC
RNAcentral lists this long non-coding RNA (620 nucleotides) under Manihot esculenta (cassava). Its description in RNAcentral is "long non-coding RNA (MESC_LNC005030)". Lineage: Eukaryota; Viridiplantae; Streptophyta; Magnoliopsida; Malpighiales; Euphorbiaceae. The record is from RNAcentral.